This is a long non-coding RNA of Alligator sinensis (Chinese alligator), 646 nucleotides long. RefSeq lists it as uncharacterized. The record is from RefSeq and is a predicted model, not a curated record. NCBI's taxonomy places the organism in Eukaryota, Metazoa, Chordata, Crocodylia, Alligatoridae. The transcript has 3 exons.
GGGCUGUCGUGCGGGACGGGCGAAGCCGGGGGCUCCCGGGGCGCCGGCCAAGUGCGGUGAGGAGCCGCCCGUCCAGCGCCACCAGUCCCCGCGGCGAGGGGAGCGGGGAGAUGGUCUCGCUCCGCUUCCCCUCGCCGCCGGUCCCAGCGUCUGUCUUCUCCGCGGUCGCGUAAUGGUAUUUACAGCCAUUGCAAUAGCUUCAGUGGCCUCCUAAUGGCGGGGGGGGCCUUGUGACCCGACCCGCCUUCCCCAGGCAGUCAGGACUCCUGCUUAUUUUGUUCCUCCCUUGAUGGUCUGUUUUCAUCCCUGUCUGUACCCGUGGCUGAGCAGGAAGAGGAGGCAAAUGUCAUUUUGUGAGAGGACAGUUUAACAUAAGGAUUUCGUCAAACUUUAGGACGGUUUGACUCUGUACACAAACUUGGAGAGACAAGAGGGCUGAUGAGUAGGGCUUGCAAUGCAUCUGGAAAUUUGAGCAGGGGAUUGGACUAGGUGAUCUCCUUGAGGUGUCCCUUCCAACCCUCACCUUCUCUGAUUCUACGAAUGCAUACCUGUUAAUAUCCUGUGGUUUUGCUAUCCUGCUGCUUCCUUAAACCUUUAUUUUUAUUAAAAUGUUCAUUUGGUCAAAUCCUUGACCAGCUUGAUCUUG